Molecule: RNA transcript, 2226 nt
Organism: Antechinus flavipes (yellow-footed antechinus)
Lineage: Eukaryota; Metazoa; Chordata; Mammalia; Dasyuromorphia; Dasyuridae
Gene: C5H12orf56
Gene name: chromosome 5 C12orf56 homolog
Exons: 13
Source: RefSeq, a predicted model, not a curated record
GCCGGGCCGCUUUGUGGCGUCCCCAGGUUCUAAGGCUGGGGGAGGGAAGACGAGCACCUGGCGAGGCGAGACGAGGUGAGCGCGCGGCGCGGGCGGGGCGCUGAGCCCUCUUCGUUAGUUGGCUCGGUCUGCUGAGCAGUACCAGCCCGGUGCAGUGCCAUCGAGGGGCGUUCCGCGCCGUCAGUCUCCGGCCCCGACGCUGUGCAUGGCUGGCUCGGGCCAGGUGGACUUCCCCUGCCGCAGGAACAGCCGUCUGGAUUACUUCCUGAAGCGGCACCUGCGACAGGAGGUAUACGAUGCCAUCCGCACCUACGAGCUCUGCAUCGUGGUCUCAGACACCGAGCACAAGACUUUCAAGUACGUGGUGCUCAGCGACAAGUUCAUCUAUGUGACCGAGAACCCGCCCAGAUCCAUCCGAGGGGUGGUGGCCUUCAAGGACGUUCAGGCUAUUGAUAUGAUUGAUGACUAUCCCGAUUUUUUGAAUGGACCAGAUAAUGAAAUUAACCAACACAUUCGCAUAGUCUAUUCUUUAUCCACUUUGAAAAAUUCCUGUGGAAAUGUCAAGGGUGCUAGGAAAUUGCCAUUUCCAUUUCCUCACUUAAAACUAAAAAAAAAAGGCAAGGAAAAGAAUGAUGACACUUCCUUUCAAUCAUCAGUUGAAAAUAGUAAAGAAUAUAAAAGUCUAAAUGUUUCACUUCUCAGGUACCAUCAGGAGGACUAUUCAGUAGUGCCCAGUGCCUCAACUCUGGAUCAUGGCUGUGAGCAUAAAAAGCUGCGUGACAGUGACCAGCAAGCCUUUCGACCUUUGCCCAUCCCUUCAGAGAGGAACUGUUUAUCUACUGUAUUCACUGGCGUCUCAGGCAAUAGUCUUUCAUCGGUGACUAAUCAAACAGAAAGUAUUCUAUCCUAUGCAGCAAACAAAAAGGAAUACCGGACACUCUCAGAUCAGAAAAACUCUCAGAGUGAAAUCCAAUUCAAAUUUAGUGGGAAUGAAAAUGACUUCUACUCUGGAAAUGUCUCCAGUAGCAUUAUUUUACCUUGCAACCCAAAUCUGGAGAAAAAGGAGGCUGAGCUUCAUCUAUAUAUUAUUUCUACUUCUUCAUCCAUUUUUCUACACCUAAAAAGUUCAUGGAAUAAUUACAUCUUAAAAGCUACCCUCUUGCAAGAUCCACUGUAUGCUAGCAAGUUCAAAUCUACAACUGGAUGUCAGAAGCCAUAUAGGUCUGAAGAGAUGAUUAAACUAUUCAGCCAACUGAAAUCUGAACUUUUUCUUAAAGAUAAUACAUUAAAACGGAUAGCCUGUUUAACUGCCAAACUUAAAGUAGCAGCUCAGAAAAACUUCAUUUUCAGAAAGCUUUUCUGGAAAACCAGUGACCUGUACUAUUUCUUAGUGAGCAAGCUUCAUGAGUACUUGCCCAAACCUCAGGAUCUUAAUGCACUUCAAAAUAAAAGCCAAAGGGCUAGUCAACUGGAGGCUUGCAUUCAGAUUAUCCAGGCUCUGGGACUGAUGUUCAGAGAAACAGAGACAGAGUUUUCCCGUCUGAACACUUUAGUUGCUAAACGUGGAACAUUAAUUACUCUUUUGAUAAUUUUAAUUACUAAACCUGAAAUUCCCAAACCUUGUCCUGUGUUUGAUAUCCAGUUUGUCGCUGAAUCAUCUUUAGUAAAGAUGUCUUCUGAUGCUGAGUUACAGAGGCUUAUGUUGGAAUACACAAAUACAGCAACUGCACUCUUAUAUGAAAUAUUGCUUGUUUCUCUACAGGGAAAUCUAGGAUUGGAACCUAAGAAGUUUGCUAUCAAUUGGAUAAUGUCCAUUCUGCAAAGUUUCCCACCCACAGAACUUACAUUCUGUCAGGGGAGACAAGGUGUGCAUAAAUACUGAAAUCAUUUAUAAGACACAUUCAAAGUAGUCACAAGGAAAUCAUGGAUAAAAAAGCACUAGAAGGGGAGGGAGUCAUGAAAGGCUUUCUGCAGAAGAUAUUGUCUGAGCUGAAGGAAGACAUGGACUCCAAGAUGGAGGAAGGAGAACAUUCUAGAAAUGGGGGACAGGAAAAGUCACAAGAGAAAUAGGAGAAGGACCAUUAUGUUUGAAGAACAUCUUCCUGGCAAGAAGGCCAGGAUGAAUGGACUAUAGAGUUCUUGGAAGGAUCUCAUUUGUGUCCAGCCUUGUGAAGCAAAUAAUGAAGGAGCUUCUGACUGCCCUGCCACUUCUAAGCCCAUGCCGAG